Molecule: ribosomal RNA, 509 nt
Filed under: bacterium enrichment culture clone ALO1_GLFRUDD03GX6CS
Lineage: Bacteria
Description: bacterial SSU rRNA
Rfam family: Bacterial small subunit ribosomal RNA
Source: RNAcentral
GAGUUUGAUCUUGGCUCAGAUUGAACGCUGGCGGCAGGCCUAACACAUGCAAGUCGAGCGGAUGACGGGAGCUUGCUCCUUGAUUCAGCGGCGGACGGGUGAGUAAUGCCUAGGAAUCUGCCUGGUAGUGGGGGACAACGUUUCGAAGGGAACGCUAAUACCGCAUACGUCCUACGGGAGAAAGCAGGGGACCUUCGGGCCUUGCGCUAUCAGAUGAGCCUAGGUCGGAUUAGCUAGUUGGUGGGGUAAUGGCUCACCAAGGCGACGAUCCGUAACUGGUCUGAGAGGAUGAUCAGUCACACUGGAACUGAGACACGGUCCAGACUCCUACGGGAGGCAGCAGUGGGGAAUAUUGGACAAUGGGCGAAAGCCUGAUCCAGCCAUGCCGCGUGUGUGAAGAAGGUCUUCGGAUUGUAAGCACUUUAAGUUGGGAGGAAGGGCAGUAAGUUAAUACCUUGCUGUUUGACGUUACCGACAGAAUAAGCACCGGCUAACUCUGUGCCAGCAGC